GAUGAACGCUGGCGGCGUGCCUCAUACAUGCAAGUCGAACGCGCAGCGAAAGGUGCUUGCACCUUUCAAGCGAGUGGCGAACGGGUGAGUAACACGUGGAUAACCUGCCUCAAGGCUGGGGAUAACAUUUGGAAACAGAUGCUAAUACCGAAUAAAACUUAGUAUCGCAUGAUACAAAGUUAAAAGGCGCUACGGCGUCACCUAGAGAUGGAUCCGCGGUGCAUUAGUUAGUUGGUGGGGUAAAGGCUUACCAAGACGAUGAUGCAUAGCCGAGUUGAGAGACUGAUCGGCCACAUUGGGACUGAGACACGGCCCAGACUCCUACGGGAGGCAGCAGUGGGGAAUAUUGCACAAUGGGGGAAACCCUGAUGCAGCGACGCCGCGUGGAGGAAGAAGGUCUUCGGAUUGUAAACUCCUGUUGUUGAGGAAGAUAAUGACGGUACUCAACAAGGAAGUGACGGCUAACUACGUG
RNAcentral lists this ribosomal RNA (472 nucleotides) under uncultured bacterium. RNAcentral describes it as "bacterial SSU rRNA". It matches the Rfam family "Bacterial small subunit ribosomal RNA", at positions 28 to 507 of the family's 1533-position model. The record is from RNAcentral.